UCUGACUNGAGUGCAGAAGGGGAGAGUGGAAUUCCAUGUGUAGCGGUGAAAUGCGUAGAUAUAUGGAGGAACACCAGUGGCGAAAGCGGCUCUCUGGUCUGUCACUGACGCUGAGGCUCGAAAGCGUGGGUAGCGAACAGGAUUAGAUACCCUGGUAGUNCACGCCGUAAACGAUGAGUGCUAGGUGUUAGGCCCUUUCCGGGGCUUAGUGCCGGAGCUAACGCAAUGAGCACUCCGCCUGGGGAGUACGACCGCAAGGUUGAAACUCAAAGGAAUUGACGGGGGCCCGCACAAGCGGUGGAGCAUGUGGUUUAAUUCGAAGCAACGCGAAGAACCUUACCAGGUCUUGACAUCCCGAUGCUAUUCUUAGAGAUAGGAAGUUACUUCGGUACAUCGGAGACAGGUGGUGCAUGGUUGUCGUCAGCUCGUGUCGUGAGAUGUUGGGUUAAGUCCCGCAACGAGCGCAACCCUUAUUGUUAGUUGCCAUCAUUAAGUUGGGCACUCUAGCGAGACUGCCGGUAAUAAACCGGAGGAAGGUGGGGAUGACGUCAAAUCAUCAUGCCCCUUAUGACCUGGGCUACACACGUGCUACAAUGGUCGGUACAACGAGUUGCGAGCCGGUGACGGCAAGCUAAUCUCUGAAAGCCGAUCUCAGUUCGGAUUGGAGGCUGCAACUCGCCUCCAUGAAGUCGGAAUCGCUAGUAAUCGCGGAUCAGCACGCCGCGGUGAAUACGUUCCCGGGCCUUGUACACACCGCCCGUCACACCACGAGAGUUUGUAACACCCGAAGUCGGUGAGGUANCCUUUUAGGG
Molecule: ribosomal RNA, 812 nt
Filed under: uncultured bacterium
Lineage: Bacteria
Description: bacterial SSU rRNA
Rfam family: Bacterial small subunit ribosomal RNA
Source: RNAcentral